Molecule: non-coding RNA, 19 nt
Filed under: Arabidopsis thaliana (thale cress)
Lineage: Eukaryota; Viridiplantae; Streptophyta; Magnoliopsida; Brassicales; Brassicaceae
Source: RNAcentral
CGCCACAAGUAUGUAGCUA